UGGAUCCAGACUUUGAUCCUGGCUCAGGAUGAACGCUAGCUACAGGCUUAACACAUGCAAGUCGAGGGGCAGCAUGACGACAGCUUGCUAUUGUCGAUGGCGACCGGCGCACGGGUGAGUAACGCGUAUCCAACCUUCCCGUUGCUAGGGGAUAACCUUGCGAAAGUAAGACUAAUACCCUAUGAUGUUCUUCGCAGACAUCUAAAGAGAACCAAAGAUUUAUCGGCAUCGGAUGGGGAUGCGUCUGAUUAGGUUGUUGGCGGGGUAACGGCCCACCAAGCCUACGAUCAGUAGGGGUUCUGAGAGGAAGGUCCCCCACAUUGGAACUGAGACACGGUCCAAACUCCUACGGGAGGCAGCAGUGAGGAAUAUUGGUCAAUGGACGGAAGUCUGAACCAGCCAAGUAGCGUGCAGGACGACGGCCCUAUGGGUUGUAAACUGCUUUUAUGUGGGAAUAAAGUGAGGGACGUGUCCCUUUUUGUAGGUACCACAUGAAUAAGGACCGGCUAAUUCCGUGCCAGCAGCCGCGGUAAUACGGAAGGUCCGGGCGUUAUCCGGAUUUAUUGGGUUUAAAGGGAGCGUAGGCCGUCUUUUAAGCGUGUUGUGAAAUACUGUCGCUCAACGACAGAGGUGCAGCGCGAACUGGGAGACUUGAGUGCGCGGAAUGCAGGCGGAAUUCGUCGUGUAGCGGUGAAAUGCUUAGAUAUGACGAAGAACUCCGAUUGCGAAGGCAGCUUGCAGUAGCGUAACUGACGCUGAAGCUCGAAAGUGCGGGUAUCGAACAGGAUUAGAUACCCUGGUAGUCCGCACGGUAAACGAUGGAUGCUCGCUGUGUGCCCCUGGGUACGCGGCCAAGCGAAAGCGUUAAGCAUCCCACCUGGGGAGUACGCCGGCAACGGUGCAACUCAAAUGAAUUGACGGA
This 922-nucleotide ribosomal RNA is filed under the name uncultured Bacteroidota bacterium. RNAcentral describes it as "bacterial SSU rRNA". It matches the Rfam family "Bacterial small subunit ribosomal RNA", at positions 1 to 917 of the family's 1533-position model. Lineage: Bacteria; Pseudomonadati; Bacteroidota. The record is from RNAcentral.